AAAUGUCCUUUCGGAACAUUGCUAAGUUUUUAUUAUGUUUCUUUUGUUUUAUUAUAGAAGCAAAUGUAUUACUGACUUUUUCAAACCAACUCUCAAAAAAGAUAGAACUGUGUUGUGCUCUCCAGAAAAAGGAAAUGGACGAGCUGGACAUACAGUUUCAUGUGUAGGCCAUGUUAAAAAAAAUGCAUCUUCUUCAAAGCAACAUAGAAGGAAGAAAUUGCCUUGCUCACCAUCAGGCAGAAGCCCAAUAAUUGAUGCUUUAUUCCGAAAGGCUAAGUCAGAGAAAAACAACAGUUCAGAAAAUAGUGUUAAUCAUCCAAAACCUGUGGUUCGGAGACUGUUCAUAUCUAAGGCCUUACCUGAUGGUUCUUUCAUAUUAAAAGAUCCUAUUUAUUCAAAAAAUUCAGAAAGAAAUGAGAAAUAUCCUGUUCAGACAAAGACACAUUUAAUGGAUAAUAGUAGUAGACAACAUAAAGCAGAAUAUGAAGACCUAGACUCAACUGGUUCAAGCUUGAAUAAAUGGCCUUUCACUUCAGGAAAUAACAGUCUGAAGAAGCAGAGUCAUGCAACUCAGUGUCAAAAAACAGUCUAUUCCAGGUUGCCACAAGUCAGUUCUUCAUCUCCGAAAUCAUUAGGAACCGUUCGCAAAAAGAGACAAGAGAAGGGCACCAAAGAUUUUUUAAGGAAAAAUUCAAGCUCAACUUCACUGGAAUCUUCUUCAGGUGCAAACAGAAAAAUAAAUGAUGUAACAUAAAAUUUAAAUUUAUUCUAGCUCAUUAUACUUUAGCUAUUAUUCUAAUAAAUUAUACGGCCACCCCUUACA
This 823-nucleotide long non-coding RNA is filed under the name Notechis scutatus (mainland tiger snake). Its description in RNAcentral is "lncRNA (ENSNSUG00000006577.1)". The record is from RNAcentral. Lineage: Eukaryota; Metazoa; Chordata; Lepidosauria; Squamata; Elapidae.